This is a non-coding RNA of Lonchura striata (white-rumped munia), 592 nucleotides long. The record is from RefSeq and is a predicted model, not a curated record. Lineage: Eukaryota; Metazoa; Chordata; Aves; Passeriformes; Estrildidae.
UAUGAAAGAAACCAUAGCUCCUGGCUCUAUGUUCCUGCUGAGUUUGAAAGUCAGUGGAAUGUGGGAGUCCUUCCUCUUCUCAAAGUAAAUUUCCCCUCACCUGGCAAAGGAUGGACAAAACUGACAGCUCCACCACUGCCCUGAUACCUGAGACAUGUCCAGCCUGCAUACUGAUGUACCAGCCUGCCCUUGGUUUUUCCUCCACUCCCUGUCCUGUCCAGCAACUCCAGGUACCACAUAUUUACAAGAAUGAUCCACUUUGUGAUGUAACAGAGAAUUACCAUAGUAGGAAUGUUCAUUGAAUAUUUUAUUAUGGCUUGGCAACUUUGAUUGAAAAGGCUGAUAAACCUUGAAAACUGUGGGUGAGUAUACAAACUGACAAUUUUUGAUGUCUUAAAUUUUCUCAAAGUACUCAUUUUCUGUCAGCCACAUUGCCACAAAAAUCUAUUUUACUUACAAACACAGAAUUAAAAACCCCCUAUAUGUUAGGUGAUGAAGUCCAAAAUUAGUCUUAUUUUUCUAAAGGUGGCCAACCAGUACCUAGUGACAUUUCAAGUCUAGAAUCAUUCUUUCAUAAGAACCAUGCUCAGCA